UCCCUGGUGGUCCAGUGGUUAAGACUCUGAACUUCCAAUGCAGGGGGCCAGGUUCAAACCCUGUUCAGGGAA
RNAcentral lists this transfer RNA (72 nucleotides) under Bos taurus (domestic cattle). It matches the Rfam family "tRNA". From Rfam's summary of the family: Transfer RNA (tRNA) molecules are approximately 80 nucleotides in length. Lineage: Eukaryota; Metazoa; Chordata; Mammalia; Artiodactyla; Bovidae. The record is from Rfam by way of RNAcentral. RNAcentral also lists the same sequence under 3 other names.